UUCGCAAUGCCCGAAAGGGUGACGAAGCGACGCCGCGUGGGUGAGGAAGGCCUUCGGGUUGUAAAGCCCUGUCAGGAGUUAAGAAAUGUAGACUCGCUAAUAUCGGGUCUAUUUGACAAAGGCUCCAAAGGAAGCCACGGCUAACUUUGUGCCAGCAGCCGCGGUAAUACAGAGGUGGCAAGCGUUGUUCGGAAUUAUUGGGCGUAAAGAGCACGUAGGUGGAUUUGUAAGUCAGACGUGAAAGCCUUCUGUUCAACGGAAGAAUUGCAUCUGAAACUACAAACCUUGAGUGUAGGAGGGGAGAAUGGAACUUCUGGUGGAGCGGUGAAAUGCGUAGAUAUCAGAAGGAACGCCGGCGGCGAAAGCGAUUCUCUGGCCUAUUACUGACACUCAGUGUGCGAAAGCUAGGGGAGCAAACGGGAUUAGAUACCCCGGUAGUCCUAGCCGUAAACGAUGGGCACUAAGUAGAGGGGUUUU
RNAcentral lists this ribosomal RNA (477 nucleotides) under Candidatus Scalindua brodae. RNAcentral's name for it is "bacterial SSU rRNA". It matches the Rfam family "Bacterial small subunit ribosomal RNA", at positions 365 to 832 of the family's 1533-position model. The record is from RNAcentral. Lineage: Bacteria; Pseudomonadati; Planctomycetota; Candidatus Brocadiia; Candidatus Brocadiales; Candidatus Scalinduaceae.